GGGCUCGUAGCUUAGCCUGGCUAGAGCACUCGACUGAUAAUCGAGAGGUCGCCGGUUCAAAUCCGGUCGGGCCCA
This 75-nucleotide transfer RNA is filed under the name Candidatus Woesearchaeota archaeon. RNAcentral's name for it is "tRNA-Ile". It matches the Rfam family "tRNA". From Rfam's summary of the family: Transfer RNA (tRNA) molecules are approximately 80 nucleotides in length. Their secondary structure includes four short double-helical elements and three loops (D, anti-codon, and T loops). The record is from RNAcentral. Lineage: Archaea; Nanobdellati; Candidatus Woesearchaeota.